AGCGGUGGUCCCGGUGCGGCCCUCCCGGUGUCCCGCCUGGCAGGUGUGCCUGGGACGUCCGGCCCAGGCGGUAACAUUAACGUGGCGGGGCUGGGGGCUCGGUUCGGCGACUUGGGGCAAAGUCUGGGGCUGGACAUUCUGCACAGCGGUACUCUGCGGAGCACCGACUACUUGGUAGAGCUGGGCAGUAUGCAUAGCUUGGUCAUUUCGUCUGGACACUAGCACCACCCAAUCCCUCCCUCUGGGCAGUGAGGAUUCUCUGACAUAAUGCAGCAUUGAUGAGGUGUUCUACAGUGACUGGAACAUUCCACCUGCCAGGCCAGAAAAGCCCUAAGAGCAACAGAAUGCCUAGAAGACCACCCGCCAUAUGUCCCCUCCCUAAGCCAGGACCACACGCUG
This is a non-coding RNA of Leptonychotes weddellii (Weddell seal), 399 nucleotides long. Lineage: Eukaryota; Metazoa; Chordata; Mammalia; Carnivora; Phocidae. The record is from RefSeq and is a predicted model, not a curated record.